Molecule: ribosomal RNA, 429 nt
Filed under: Chloroflexota bacterium
Lineage: Bacteria; Bacillati; Chloroflexota
Description: Chloroflexi bacterium partial 16S ribosomal RNA
Rfam family: Bacterial small subunit ribosomal RNA
Source: RNAcentral
UGGGGAAUAUUGCACAAUGGGCGCAAGCCUGAUGCAGCCAUGCCACGUGUAUGAAGAAGGCCUUCGGGUUGUAAAGUACUUUCAGCGGGGAGGAAGGGAGUAAAGUUAAUACCUUUGCUCAUUGACGUUACCCGCAGAAGAAGCACCGGCUAACUCCGUGCCAGCAGCCGCGGUAAUACGGAGGGUGCAAGCGUUAAUCGGAAUUACUGGGCGUAAAGCGCACGCAGGCGGUUUGUUAAGUCAGAUGUGAAAUCCUCGGGCUCAACCUGGGAACUGCAUCUGAUACUGGCAAGCUUGAGUCUCGUAGAGGGGGGUAGAAUUCCAGGUGUAGCGGUGAAAUGCGUAGAGAUCUGGAGGAAUACCGGUGGCGAAGGCGGCCCCCUGGACAAAGACUGACGCUCAGGUGCGAAAGCGUGGGGAGCAAACAGG